Molecule: RNA transcript, 1026 nt
Organism: Odobenus rosmarus divergens (Pacific walrus)
Lineage: Eukaryota; Metazoa; Chordata; Mammalia; Carnivora; Odobenidae
Gene name: mitochondrial fission factor-like
Exons: 1
Source: RefSeq, a predicted model, not a curated record
GUGCGCUCGGCCAACCGCCUCUAGGAGCGCCCAGCCGAACGCCCCGGGAGCCGGCGGGCGGCGGCCCUCGCCGGGGACCCUCCAGCAGGCCCAGGGGGACAAAGUGGCUCUAAAUGCAGCACAGGCACAUUGAAGCAAGUUAAAGGAUUUAAUGUGAAGCACAGAAGCAGAUGGUGCCAAAUAGCAAGCUGUAGUUGGUACACAUUUAGUGAGUGGGGCCCCAUUUUGUUCUCCCACUGCUGCUGAGAUGGCGGAGAUUAGUCGAAUUCAGUAUGAAAUGGAAUACACCGAAGGUAUUAGUCAGCAAAUGAGGGUCCCGGAGAAACUAAAGGUAGCACCACCAAAUGCUGACCUGGAACAAGGAUUCCAAGAAGGAGUUCCAAACGCUAGUGUCAUUAUGCAGGUUCCUGAGAGGAUUGUUGUAGCAGGAAAUAAUGAAGACAUUCCAUUUUCAAGACCAGCAGAUCUUGACCUUAUUCAGUCAACUCCCUUUAAACCUCUGGCACUAAAAACACCAUCUCGUGUACUUACAUUAAGUGAAAGACCACUAGAUUUUCUGGAUUUAGAAAGACCUCCUCCAACCCCUCAAAAUGAAGAAAUCCGUGCAGUUGGCAGGCUAAAAAGAGAGCGCUCUAUGAGUGAAAAUGCUGUUCGCCAAAACGGACAGCUGGUCAGAGCUGACUCCAUACCUGUGUUGCGUGGUGGGUCUGCUGCCGACACUUCUAAUCCUCAUCGUGACAACGUCAGGCAUGGCAUGUCACAUAUAGAUACAACAAUUGAAGGAACUUCAGACGACAUGACUUGUAGAUGCAGCUUCGUUAAGACGGCAGAUAAUCAAACUAAAUAGAUGUCUACAACUUCUAGAAGAGGAGAACAAAGAGCGUGCUAAAAGAGAAAUGGUCAUGUAUUCAAUUACUGUAGCGUUCUUGCUGCUUAAUAGCUGGCUCUGGUUUCGCUGCUAGAGGUAACCUCAGCUCUCGAAAAUAUUGUCUCAACAGCUGCAAAUAUAAAGAAUUUGCAAACUUC